CGUUUCUUAAAGGGGCAGAGCAUAAACAAAGUCAAUAACAGGCAGAAGGUCAUACACAGGCGAAAUCAACAUAUGUAAAGCACUCCUAACUACACAAAGCAACGGCAAUGAUCUGCCACAGGAUGGAGCCUUAAGUACACCACCCGAAACGUGCAGCCAACCUAUCCUAUUGCACAAGGCAGGAGCAGGCGUGGACAAGAUGUGAUCAUCCAGUGGCAAGCCGGAACGUGACACAUGCAGGCCUAAAGAACGGGGAGGAGACAAAAGACACCCAUCCCACCACCGACAUAGACACACGAAUGGCACAUAGAGCAAACAGAAAUACACUGGAGAACGUAACACAGAUAUGUAAUAUUCGAUCAUUUUCCUUAAUAAGCAAAUGAAAGUAUAAUAUUUUUGUCUCAUUUAUUUAAAUGGGUUCUGUUUGUCUACUUUUAGGACUUCUGAUGAUGUUUUAGGUCAUAUUUAUGAAGAUGUACAGAAAAUUCUAAAGGGUUCAGAAACUUUCAAGCACCAAUGUUCCCCUAGCUGACAGAAAUAUCUUCGCCCCAAUAGACACCUACCAGAGUUUAAACAGAGCAAGAAUGAUUACCUUUGCUCAGGAGCUUGUUGUUUUAGCCUUCUCAAAGGAAACUCUGAAAGAAUCCACUCUCAAAGGAAAGUUUGGCCAGAUGACCCACCAAAAAAGCAACUGGAUAAGGAAAAGAUGCCGUCAUGAUGGAACUUCUAGACACAACUCCAGCUGAUGAGUAUAAUUGCCUAUGGCACAAAUGUAACAACGAGCAAUUUGCAAAUAAAAGAAAGAUUUAAUUUAUGGAAUAUUUAAGUACUAUUUCAGUAACAUUUUUUUGUUGAAAAUCUUCUGUUGACCUGUUGUGAUUACUGUACAUGUACAAUACAGAGAAAUGUAUUGGAGGACUGUAUUGCUUGCAUAUUUAAUGCAUCUGCAUAUUUGUUGAGCCCAUAAAUGUUUUGGGUUUUUUUAUGGUGAAUGUGAGUCAUACAAAAAACUAUUAGAAUUCAUAAUCAUAAAGUAAACUAUUAAAAUAAUGAUUACUGUUACCUUUUCAGUAAUUUAAGCACAUUUUGAAAUGGUGAAAGAAAUUAUGAAAGAAAUUUAAAUACUAGGCACAUUGACAGAAGUUUUAUAUUUUAUUUUAUUUAGUGUAUUCCUAAUACACUCCAGUGCACCUAAUACACACUUCUCAUUAUGGGAAGACCACAAAGUAAUCACAAUCUUCUUUAUGCUGCACCUGCAUGGUGGUGCAGUGAGCAAAGAGAGUAUAUAACUGACCAAGAUUUGUAUCCAGAUGUUAAUCAUGUUUCUUGGAUCCACAACAAAUAAUGUCUCACAGUUGUUCCCAAGAAAAGUGAAUCACUGGUAUACUAGGGGGUUUCUAUGAAAUGUCAGUGGAAAGCAAAUGUUAAAUUCUGGUGUGUUGAUCACUGAAAGUGGAUUAUAAAUAUGACAGAAAUAUAACAUAAAUAUUAAUACAUUUCCAAUGCUCUCAAGGUAUUGAAAGGGCAGCCAUAGCAUGGAUGAGGUGUAUUUUAAUGUCACUUGAAAUUAAAUUAAAUUG
Molecule: long non-coding RNA, 1580 nt
Organism: Ictalurus furcatus (blue catfish)
Lineage: Eukaryota; Metazoa; Chordata; Actinopteri; Siluriformes; Ictaluridae
Exons: 3
Source: RefSeq, a predicted model, not a curated record